Long non-coding RNA from Pseudophryne corroboree (corroboree frog), 329 nucleotides. RefSeq lists it as uncharacterized. The record is from RefSeq and is a predicted model, not a curated record. Lineage: Eukaryota; Metazoa; Chordata; Amphibia; Anura; Myobatrachidae. The transcript has 3 exons.
ACAAAUACAGAGAAUUUCGAUUCGGUUGAAGAUAGCCCAUUUGGUUUAGAUUUCAGCAUUAUACCCGAUUUUACUAAUAUUUUGGAAUUGGCUCCAGCCUAUUCCACAAAAAUGGAUGAUGCGACGGCUGACGGUAUUCUACGGGACAUAUUGAACAAACCUGAAUAUUGUCACAACGCCGCUAUACAGACCAGCAAUGUUGUUGAUGAGCGACCGUUUUCCCCCCACGCGACAGGGGGUCGGGCUAAAACAUUCGAAUAUAAAGCAGAUGAUGCGGUAGCAAGGCGAUAUGAUCCUACGAUACCAACAGGCCGUGAUACAGUCGCGCA